This 356-nucleotide unclassified non-coding RNA is filed under the name soil metagenome. RNAcentral's name for it is "partial contains 5.8S ribosomal RNA, internal transcribed spacer 2, and large subunit ribosomal RNA". The stretch from base 1 to 120 matches the Rfam family "5.8S ribosomal RNA", at positions 35 to 154 of the family's 154-position model. The record is from RNAcentral.
GAUGAAGAACGUAGCGAAAUGCGAUAAGUAAUGCGAAUUGCAGAAUUCAGUGAAUCAUCGAAUCUUUGAACGCACAUUGCGCCCGCCAGUACUCUGGCGGGCAUGCCUGUCUGAGCGUCAUUUCAACCCUCGCGCCCGGCUUCUGUCGGGGGUGGUGUUGGGGAUCGGCCUCCCGUCUUCCGGGCGGCCGGCCCCUAAAUGGAGUGGCGACCGCGCCGUAGCCUCCUCUGCGUAGUAGUGAAACACUCGCGGGCGGAGAGCGGUGCGGCCCGCCGUAAAACCCCCAACUCUUCUAAGGUUGACCUCAGAUCAGGUAGGAAUACCCGCUGAACUUAAGCAUAUCAAUAAGCGGAGGA